Molecule: ribosomal RNA, 257 nt
Filed under: uncultured bacterium
Lineage: Bacteria
Description: partial 16S ribosomal RNA
Rfam family: Bacterial small subunit ribosomal RNA
Source: RNAcentral
UAACGCGUGGAGAACCUGCCGUAUACUGGGGGAGUAACACUUAGAAAUAGGUGCUAAUACCGCAUAAGCGCACAGCUUCGCAUGAAGCAGUGUGGAAAACAAAAGCUAAAGCUUUUGGUGGUAUACGAUGGAUCCGCGUCUGAUUAGCUAGUUGGCGGGGUAAAGGCCCACCAAGGCGACGAUCAGUAGCCGGCCUGAGAGGGUGAACGGCCACAUUGGGACUGAGACACGGCCCAAACUCCUACGGAAGGCAGCAG